This 565-nucleotide ribosomal RNA is filed under the name Aureobasidium sp. 35L-3-5A. RNAcentral's name for it is "eukaryotic LSU rRNA". The stretch from base 179 to 332 matches the Rfam family "5.8S ribosomal RNA". Lineage: Eukaryota; Fungi; Ascomycota; Dothideomycetes; Dothideales; Saccotheciaceae. The record is from RNAcentral.
GGAUAAGGAUGCUCAGCGCCCGACCUCCAACCCUUUGUUGUUAAAACUACCUUGUUGCUUUGGCGGGACCGCUCGGUCUCGAGCCGCUGGGGAUUCGUCCCAGGCGAGCGCCCGCCAGAGUUAAACCAAACUCUUGUUAUUAAACCGGUCGUCUGAGUUAAAAUUUUGAAUAAAUCAAAACUUUCAACAACGGAUCUCUUGGUUCUCGCAUCGAUGAAGAACGCAGCGAAAUGCGAUAAGUAAUGUGAAUUGCAGAAUUCAGUGAAUCAUCGAAUCUUUGAACGCACAUUGCGCCCCUUGGUAUUCCGAGGGGCAUGCCUGUUCGAGCGUCAUUACACCACUCAAGCUAUGCUUGGUAUUGGGUGCCGUCCUUAGUUGGGCGCGCCUUAAAGACCUCGGCGAGGCCUCACCGGCUUUAGGCGUAGUAGAAUUUAUUCGAACGUCUGUCAAAGGAGAGGACUUCUGCCGACUGAAACCUUUAUUUUUCUAGGUUGACCUCGGAUCAGGUAGGGAUACCCGCUGAACUUAAGCAUAUCAAUAAGGCGGAGGAAGAAGUGUUUGCCCC